Molecule: ribosomal RNA, 320 nt
Filed under: uncultured bacterium
Lineage: Bacteria
Description: bacterial SSU rRNA
Rfam family: Bacterial small subunit ribosomal RNA
Source: RNAcentral
UUACGGGAGGCAGCAGUGGGGAAUCUUAGACAAUGGGCGCAAGCCUGAUCUAGCCAUGCCGCGUGUGUGAUGAAGGUCUUAGGAUCGUAAAGCACUUUCGCCAGGGAUGAUAAUGACAGUACCUGGUAAAGAAACCCCGGCUAACUCCGUGCCAGCAGCCGCGGUAAUACGGAGGGGGUUAGCGUUGUUCGGAAUUACUGGGCGUAAAGCGUACGUAGGCGGAUCAGAAAGUUAGGGGUGAAAUCCCGAGGCUCAACCUCGGAACUGCCUCUAAAACUCCUGGUCUUGAGUUCGAGAGAGGUGAGUGGAAUUCCAAGUGU